GAGACCUCAGGUCAGGCGGGGCUACCCGCUGAAU
RNAcentral lists this ribosomal RNA (34 nucleotides) under Lathyrus pannonicus subsp. pannonicus. RNAcentral's name for it is "partial 25S ribosomal RNA". Lineage: Eukaryota; Viridiplantae; Streptophyta; Magnoliopsida; Fabales; Fabaceae. The record is from RNAcentral.